This 607-nucleotide long non-coding RNA is filed under the name Numida meleagris (helmeted guineafowl). RNAcentral's name for it is "lncRNA (ENSNMEG00000010684.1)". Lineage: Eukaryota; Metazoa; Chordata; Aves; Galliformes; Numididae. The record is from RNAcentral.
CAGACCUUUCCCUCCACUGUCAAAUCAUUUUGUACUGCUCUUGCUUACCACGGAGUCCAGAAAAUCUGAUUGUAAAGUAUGUUGGAAACUAAGUUAUGCAGGAAGAGUGAGAGGAGAGCUGGAUCAAGUGGAAACAAUAUUUUAGCACAUGACCAGAACAACCUACAUCAGCUCCCUGCCUGAGGAAAGACAGUUCAGUAAAAAUGAUGAGAACAAAAGUGAUGCUGUUGGAGACUGCACUGUUGAUGAGGCUUGUGUAACUGCAGUGUUUUGUCAGCUAAUCCAUAUCGCCAGCACUGAGACUGAGGCUGGAUCAUCACGUAUGUAUGUUUGCUGGUGCCUUCCAUAGUGGGGAGUGGUUUGUUGUCGUUUCUGUGACUUGCUGCCACAGGAAGCCAGAUGCACAGAACAGCACUUGCACUGCUCUUGAUUGAGCCUGAGCAACUGAAAGGGUGAAAGUUAGCUUAUGUUAUAGAAAAGGGGAUGGAAUAGGUGAAAGUUAGCUUAGUGGGUAGCUUAGGUUUGCAACGUGAAACUUUGUGCUGAAAAGACAGACAAGGAGAAAGUCUGGGGCAUGUAGUCCUUGUAAAAACAGUGGUAUACAGUA